Notothenia coriiceps (black rockcod) is the source of this 111-nucleotide long non-coding RNA. RefSeq lists it as uncharacterized. The transcript has 3 exons. The record is from RefSeq and is a predicted model, not a curated record. Lineage: Eukaryota; Metazoa; Chordata; Actinopteri; Perciformes; Nototheniidae.
AAAGUGGGGGGAAACUAUUCUGCACCCCGUGCAACUGUGUGUUGGAGCAUAAGUCUUAGAGAAAAUAGACGGUGACAACCCACUUUGAUUCAAUCAAACAUUCAGAAAAGC